GUGUGAUUUAGUGUAGUGUAGACACACAUGAUUUACAUUCUCUACUCUUUUCCUGCCGGUCACGACCCGCCAAACAAACUAACGUCAAUGUAGUGAAUGCAGAGUGUGUGUUAGUGUAAUGAAUGCAGAGUGUGUGUCACUGUAGUGAAUGCAGAGUGUGUGUCACUGUAGUGAAUUCAGAGAGUGUGUUAAUGUGUAGUGAAUGCAGAGUGUGUGUCAGUGUAGUGAAUGCAGAGUGUGUGUCGGUGUAG
Pelobates cultripes (western spadefoot toad) is the source of this 251-nucleotide non-coding RNA. The record is from the annotation of a GenBank genome assembly. Lineage: Eukaryota; Metazoa; Chordata; Amphibia; Anura; Pelobatidae.